GACAAACGCUGGCGGCGUGCGUAACACAUGCAAGUCGUGCGGGUCGGCUCUUCGGAGCCGGUCAGCGGCGGACGGGUGAGUAACACGUGAGUCACCAACCCUCCAGUGGGGGAUACCCGGCGGAAACGCUGGUUAAUCCCGCAUACGUUUCUUCGGAAAGAAAGCCGUAAGGCGCUGGUGGACGGGCUCGCGGUCGAUUAGCUGGUUGGUAGGGUAACGGCCUACCAAGGCGACGAUCGAUAGCUGGUCUGAGAGGAUGAUCAGCCACAC
This 270-nucleotide ribosomal RNA is filed under the name uncultured bacterium. RNAcentral's name for it is "partial 16S ribosomal RNA". It matches the Rfam family "Bacterial small subunit ribosomal RNA", at positions 28 to 313 of the family's 1533-position model. The record is from RNAcentral.